GUGGGGAAUAUUGGACAAUGGGCGCAAGCCUGAUCCAGCCAUGCCGCGUGAGUGAUGAAGGCCUUAGGGUUGUAAAGCUCUUUCACCGGUGAAGAUAAUGACGGUAACCGGAGAAGAAGCCCCGGCUAACUUCGUGCCAGCAGCCGCGGUAAUACGAAGGGGGCUAGCGUUGUUCGGAAUUACUGGGCGUAAAGCGCACGUAGGCUGAUAUUUAAGUCAGGGGUGAAAUCCCGGGGCUCAACCCCGGAACUGCCUUUGAUACUGGGUGUCUGGAGUAUGGAAGAGGUAAGUGGAAUUCCGAGUGUAGAGGUGAAAUUCGUAGAUAUUCGGAGGAACACCAGUGGCGAAGGCGGCUCACUGGCUCGAUACUGACGCUGAGGUGCGAAAGCGUGGGGAGCAAACAGGAUUAGAAACCCGAGUAGUCC
Molecule: ribosomal RNA, 425 nt
Filed under: uncultured bacterium
Lineage: Bacteria
Description: partial 16S ribosomal RNA
Rfam family: Bacterial small subunit ribosomal RNA
Source: RNAcentral